Molecule: ribosomal RNA, 329 nt
Filed under: uncultured eukaryote
Lineage: Eukaryota
Description: partial 18S ribosomal RNA
Rfam family: Eukaryotic small subunit ribosomal RNA
Source: RNAcentral
CCCUUAGAUGUUCUGGACCGCACGCGCGCUACACUGAUGCAUUCAACGAGUCUAAAACCUGCUCUGAUAGGGGUGGGUAAUCUUUUGAAUGUGCAUCGUGAUUGGGAUAGAUGAUUGCAAUUUUUCAUCUUCAACGAGGAAUGCCUAGUAAACGCAAGUCAUCAGCUUGCAUUGAUUACGUCCCUGCCCUUUGUACACACCGCCCGUCGCUCCUACCGAUUGAAUGAUCCGAUGAAUAUCAUGGAUUGAGGAUGCAAGUAGGUUAGCCUAUCUUCAUCUUCGAGAAGUGAAGUAAAUCUUAUCAUUUAGAGGAAGGAGAAGUCGUAACA